UACGUAGGGUGCAAGCGUUGUCCGGAAUUAUUGGGCGUAAAGAGCUCGUAGGCGGUUUGUCGCGUCUGCUGUGAAAACCCGAGGCUCAACCUCGGGCCUGCAGUGGGUACGGGCAAACUAGAGUGCGGUAGGGGAGAAUGGAAUUCCUGGUGUAGCGGUGGAAUGCGCAGAUAUCAGGAGGAACACCGAUGGCGAAGGCAGUUCUCUGGGACGGUACUGACGCUGAGACGCGAAAGCGUGGGGAGCGAACAGG
This 253-nucleotide ribosomal RNA is filed under the name uncultured bacterium. Its description in RNAcentral is "partial 16S ribosomal RNA". It matches the Rfam family "Bacterial small subunit ribosomal RNA", at positions 524 to 776 of the family's 1533-position model. The record is from RNAcentral.